GAUGAACGCUGGCGGCGUGCCUAAUACAUGCAAGUCGAGCGAACAGACGAGGAGCUUGCUCCUCUGACGUUAGCGGCGGACGGGUGAGUAACACGUGGAUAACCUACCUAUAAGACUGGGAUAACUUCGGGAAACCGGAGCUAAUACCGGAUAAUAUAUUGAACCGCAUGGUUCAAUAGUGAAAGACGGUUUUGCUGUUACUUAUAGAUGGAUCCCCGCCGCAUUAGCUAGUUGGUAAGGUAACGGCCUACCAAGGCGACGAUGCGUAGCCGACCUGGGAGGGUGAUCGGCCAAACGGGAACUGAGCCACGGUCCAGACUCCUACGGGAGGCAGCGGUAGGGAACCUUCCGCAAUGGGCGAAAGCCUGACGGAGCAACGCCGCGUGAGUGAUGAAGGUCUUCGGAUCGUAAAACUCUGUUAUUAGGGAAGAACAAAUGUGUAAGUAACUAUGCACGUCUUGACGGUACCUAAUCAGAAAGCCACGGCUAACUACGUG
This 497-nucleotide ribosomal RNA is filed under the name uncultured bacterium. RNAcentral's name for it is "partial 16S ribosomal RNA". It matches the Rfam family "Bacterial small subunit ribosomal RNA", at positions 28 to 507 of the family's 1533-position model. The record is from RNAcentral.